Molecule: unclassified non-coding RNA, 435 nt
Filed under: Hevea brasiliensis (rubber tree)
Lineage: Eukaryota; Viridiplantae; Streptophyta; Magnoliopsida; Malpighiales; Euphorbiaceae
Source: RNAcentral
GUGGUGCUUACAUUGUCAGGCAGGCUGCCAAGAGCAUUGUAGCUGCCGGUCUUGCCAGGAGGGCAAUCGUGCAAGUCUCUUAUGCCAUUGGUGUGCCUGAACCAUUGUCAGUCUUCGUGGACACAUAUGGAACUGGGAAGAUCCCUGACAAGGAAAUUCUCAAGAUCGUGAAGGAGAACUUCGACUUUAGACCUGGAAUGAUCACGAUCAACCUGGACUUAAAGAGAGGUGGGAAUAGCAGAUUCUUGAAGACAGCCGCAUAUGGACAUUUUGGAAGGGAUGAUCCUGAUUUCACCUGGGAAGUUGUGAAGCCCCUCAAAUGGGAGAAGCCUCAAUCCUGAGAUGGGUUGGUCCGUUGAAAGCUGCCAUGGAAAUUGGAAAACCACCUUUGUUACAACGGGAUGAAUAAUGUGUGUGCUGCCCUUAUAAUCUAAG